This 477-nucleotide ribosomal RNA is filed under the name uncultured bacterium. Its description in RNAcentral is "partial 16S ribosomal RNA". It matches the Rfam family "Bacterial small subunit ribosomal RNA", at positions 30 to 507 of the family's 1533-position model. The record is from RNAcentral.
AUUGAACGCUGGCGGCAUGCCUUACACAUGCAAGUCGAACGGUAACAGGUUAAGCUGACGAGUGGCGAACGGGUGAGUAAUGUAUCGGAACGUGCCCAGUCGUGGGGGAUAACUGCUCGAAAGAGCAGCUAAUACCGCAUACGACCUGAGGGUGAAAGCGGGGGAUCGCAAGACCUCGCGCGAUUGGAGCGGCCGAUAUCAGAUUAGGUAGUUGGUGAGGUAAAGGCUCACCAAGCCGACGAUCUGUAGCUGGUCUGAGAGGACGACCAGCCACACUGGGACUGAGACACGGCCCAGACGCCUACGGGAGGCAGCAGUGGGGAAUGUUGGACAAUGGGCGCAAGCCUGAUCCAGCCAUGCCGCGUGCGGGAAGAAGGCCUUCGGGUUGUAAACCGCUUUUGUCAGGGAAGAAAAGGUUCUGGCUAAUACCUGGGACUCAUGACGGUACCUGAAGAAUAAGCACCGGCUAACUACGUG